This 469-nucleotide ribosomal RNA is filed under the name uncultured bacterium. RNAcentral describes it as "bacterial SSU rRNA". It matches the Rfam family "Bacterial small subunit ribosomal RNA", at positions 355 to 825 of the family's 1533-position model. The record is from RNAcentral.
UAAGGAAUAUUGGUCAAUGGAGGCAACUCUGAACCAGCCAUGCCGCGUGCAGGAUGAAGGCCCUAUGGGUCGUAAACUGCUUUUUAUACCAGAGAAAACCCCAGUACGUGUACUGGGUUGAUAGUAUGGUAAGAAUAAGCAUCGGCUAACUUCGUGCCAGCAGCCGCGGUAAGACGAAGGAUGCAAGCGUUAUCCGGAUUCAUUGGGUUUAAAGGGUGCGUAGGCGGACUUGUAAGUCAGUGGUGAAAUCUCUCAGCUUAACUGAGAAACUGCCAUUGAUACUGCAGGUCUAGAGUAUAGAUGACGUUGGCGGAAUAUGACAUGUAGUGGUGAAAUACUUAGAUAUGUCAUAGAACACCGAUUGCGAAGGCAGCUAACGAAACUAUAAACUGACGCUGAGGCACGAAAGUGCGGGGAUCAAACAGGAUUAGAUACCCACGUAGUCCCUGAGCGGGCUGGCAAGGCGCAU